This 408-nucleotide ribosomal RNA is filed under the name uncultured bacterium. RNAcentral describes it as "bacterial SSU rRNA". It matches the Rfam family "Bacterial small subunit ribosomal RNA", at positions 355 to 776 of the family's 1533-position model. The record is from RNAcentral.
UCGAGAAUCUUCCGCAAUGGACGAAAGUCUGACGGAGCGACGCCGCGUGAUGGAUGAAGUACUUCGGUACGUAAACAUCUUUUAUCAGGGAAGAACUAAAGUGACGGUACCUGAGGAAUAAGGGGCUGCAAAACUCGUGCCAGCAGCAGCGGUAAAACGAGUGCCCCAAGCGUUAUCCGGAAUUACUGGGCAUAAAGGGUGCGUAGGUGGUCUUAUUAGUCGUUUGUUAAAACUCCCGGCCUAACCGGGAAGCAGUGAACGAAACGGUAAGACUAGAGAGAGUGAGAGGUUAGCAGAACUCAUGGUGUAGGGGUGAAAUCCGUUGAUAUCAUGGGGAAUACCAAAGGCGAAGGCAGCUAACUGGCGCUCAUCUGACACUCCAGCACGAAAGCGUGGGUAGCGAAUGGG